This is a non-coding RNA of Phthorimaea operculella (potato tuberworm), 72 nucleotides long. The record is from the annotation of a GenBank genome assembly. NCBI's taxonomy places the organism in Eukaryota, Metazoa, Arthropoda, Insecta, Lepidoptera, Gelechiidae.
GCAUCGAUAGCUCAGUGGCAGAGCGGUGGGGCGUUUACCCAUGCAGCCCGGGUUCGAUCCCCAGUCGAUGCA